Long non-coding RNA from Gordionus sp. m RMFG-2023, 1028 nucleotides. RefSeq lists it as uncharacterized. The transcript is spliced from 3 exons. The record is from RefSeq and is a predicted model, not a curated record. NCBI's taxonomy places the organism in Eukaryota, Metazoa, Nematomorpha, Gordioida, Chordodea, Parachordodidae.
CAUAAAAAAUUGAUCUCUACCAUUAUAUUGCCUCCUAUCCCUAAGGAUCUCACUUUCUUAUAUCCAGAAUGUUACAGGGAUAUGCUCAAAUACGAUUCUGGGCCAGAUGAUAAUUUAAGAUUUAUAAUGUUGAGCACGGACAAACUACUCGAAGGAUUAUCAAGAUCGGAUAUAUGGAUAUGUGAUGGUACCUUUAAAAUUGUACCUGAAAUAUUCUUCCAACUUUAUACCAUCCACAAAUUGCACCGGGCGCGAAUCCUGUUGGUAUAUAUUGCUUAUUACCAAAUAAGAUAAAAGAGCUGAAACAAUUACUACCAGGGGCGCAUCCGAGGAAAAUAUUGGUGGAUUUCGAACAGGCACCGAUAAUGCGUUUAGAGCUGGGUAUCCACUCGCAGAUAUCCUUGGAUGUUAUUUUCAUCUAAAACAGAGCGUUAAUAGAAAAAUAAACGAUUUGGGAUUAAAAGAGAUGUAUGAGUCGAAUGACGACUUUCGAUUGUAUAGUAGGUGUUUAUCGGCUCUUGCAUAUGUCCCAGAGGAUGAUGUUGGAAACUCAUUUGAUACUUUGGCAGAAAUAUUUGGUGAAUUGAAUGGCUCAUAUGAGCUAAUUUCCUACUUUGAGAAGACCUAUAUCCGAGGACGUAGAAAUCCCAGGCAAUGAAAUAACUUUGCAGCGCCUUUAUAUAAUGUAAGACUAUGGAAUAAACACAAUUCCACGUUAGAAGGUGUCGCCCGAACAACAAAUUGUGUUGAAGGGUGGCACUAUGGAAUUCAAUCCCUAUACCAAUGUUCUCAUCCAACACUAUGGAAAUUUUUAGAUGGGAUACAAAAAGAUAUGCAGAAACAUAAAGCUCUAUAUCUUCAAGUCGUGAUGGGAACAACACCGUACUUAUCAAAGAAAUAUGAAGAUAUAAAAAGACGAAUUCAGAUUUGUGUUUCAAAUUACGGAUUGUCGGAUUCUUUAAUAUUUUUAAAAGCUAUUGCCCAUAUUUCGUGCAAUUAAAUAUAUUAUAAAUAAUUUAUAUUUUUUA